GAUGAACGCUAGCGGCAGGCCUAACACAUGCAAGUCGAGGGGUAGAGUUAGCUUGCUAACUUGAGACCGGCGCACGGGUGCGUAACGCGUAUGCAAUCUACCUUGUACAGGGGGAUAGCCCAGAGAAAUUUGGAUUAAUACCCCAUGGUGUUUAGAAGUGGCAUCACUUUUUUACUAAAGUUCCAACGGUACAAGAUGAGCAUGCGUCCCAUUAGCUAGUUGGUAUGGUAACGGCAUACCAAGGCUAUGAUGGGUAGGGGUCCUGAGAGGGAGAUCCCCCACACUGGUACUGAGACACGGACCAGACUCCUACGGGAGGCAGCAGUGAGGAAUAUUGGUCAAUGGUCGCAAGACUGAACCAGCCAUGCCGCGUGCAGGAAGACGGUCCUAUGGAUUGUAAACUGCUUUUAUACAGGAAGAAACCCUCUCACGUGUGGGAGCUUGACGGUACUGUAUGAAUAAGCAUCGGCUAACUCCGUGCCAGCAGCCGCGGUAA
RNAcentral lists this ribosomal RNA (496 nucleotides) under uncultured bacterium. Its description in RNAcentral is "partial 16S ribosomal RNA". It matches the Rfam family "Bacterial small subunit ribosomal RNA", at positions 28 to 523 of the family's 1533-position model. The record is from RNAcentral.